GCUACUUCCCAUUUCCUAAUCAAAUCUGCUAAAUAUGAACCCAACGAAUUGAUAAUCAAAAUGUCUAAUCAAGAAAUCUAAAAUUAUGCAACAUAUACUAUUGGCAGCAUUAGCAGUACUUUGUGCCGUCCAAAAUUGUUACUCGUGCGACAAUAACGGUAAUUGCGAUAAGGAAAACGAUGGACCCAUCGAACAGCCUGAUGUCAUUGCAUGUUCAACUGGGUCUUUAGAAUGUUGCAAUAAAGUAUCCGCCAAGGAUAAACUCAGCCCGGAUCAGAUUAACCUCGUCCGAAAUGUUCUAACAAAUGGAUUAUCGGGAUUAAAGGGCCUAUGGGGCUUGACGGACGUACUUCUUAAUUUGAACAACAUUGUGGGAGACAUUGGAUUUCAGUGCUCACCGCUCGCAGUGCCGGUUGUAGGUGCCGCGGUAAGCGUUACUACUUGUAACACUCAAACUGUGUGCUGUAGUAACAACACCUACAACGGUAUAAUUGCACUUGGCUGCAUUCCUAUUGUUUUAAAUACGGGUUAAGUGCAAGGCCACCUGCAAUGUAAUUCAAAGCAUCUUAAACAACAACUUGGGCAGAACAGAACCUCCGACGACAAUAUUAUUCACAUCGAUCGGUUGUUUUGCCUGUCUUUUUAGCAAAUAAAUUGUCACUC
Bradysia coprophila is the source of this 663-nucleotide long non-coding RNA. The record is from RefSeq and is a predicted model, not a curated record. Lineage: Eukaryota; Metazoa; Arthropoda; Insecta; Diptera; Sciaridae.